RNAcentral lists this ribosomal RNA (250 nucleotides) under uncultured bacterium. Its description in RNAcentral is "partial 16S ribosomal RNA". It matches the Rfam family "Bacterial small subunit ribosomal RNA", at positions 524 to 773 of the family's 1533-position model. The record is from RNAcentral.
UACAGAGGGUGCAAGCGUUAAUCGGAGUUAUUGGGCGUAAAGCGUGCGUAGGCGGAUAUCUAAGUCGGGUGUGAAAUCCCUGGGCUCAACCUGGGAACUGCGCUCGAUACUGGAUAUCUAGAGUAUGAUAGAGGAAAGCGGAAUUUCCGGUGUAGCGGUGAAAUGCGUAGAUAUCGGAAAGAACAUCGGUGGCGAAGGCGGCUUUCUAGAUCAAUACAGACGCUGAGGUACGAGAGCGUGGGGAGCAAAC